Andrographis paniculata is the source of this 726-nucleotide long non-coding RNA. RefSeq lists it as uncharacterized. The transcript is spliced from 3 exons. NCBI's taxonomy places the organism in Eukaryota, Viridiplantae, Streptophyta, Magnoliopsida, Lamiales, Acanthaceae. The record is from RefSeq and is a predicted model, not a curated record.
AAAAUAUCUGAGGUUGAGACCGAGAUUAGGGUUGUGCUUCAUCUCGACUGACCAGCGACGACGGACGACUCCUCCAAAAUCGGCGACGGAGGACAAUACAAAACUUCGAUUAAAGUAGCUAUGUCUAGUAGUUCAUCAAAGGUGAAGCAUAGAAGCACCAAUGGGAAAUUGGAUUUGAGAUAUAAGAAUCCGUUUUGUCGAUGCGGAUGAUAUGCUUCUAUAAAAGUCGUUGGGUCUACAAAAGAUACUAAAGGAAUUAAGGAAGCUCGCACAAAGUCGAUGAGUUUGAUAAAUUUGAAGUGGUUUCGAGGAUGAAUAUCCUCAAUUUGGAAGUACCUGAAGUUGAAGAUAUUGCACGGUUGAUCAAACUAUGUGAAGAAUCGAAUAAUAAGUUGCGUCGCUUUGAAAAAAGAUAGAUGUCUAUCCUAAUUGCUAUUGUAAUAAUUGGAUGUGUUGUAUUGAUUAAGUUGAACUGUAAUGCGGAUGAUAUGAUCAAGUUGUUACAUUAUCCUAGGACAUGUGGCCGUACGUUUUAUUUCGUAUUAGUUGUUUGAAGUAAUGAAAGGUAUGUAGUCGUAUGUUAUAUGUUGUAUUAGAAGUUGUAUGUUGUUUGUUAUGGUAGAGUUAUCGAAGUUUUCGAUGACCUUAGUUGGUUGAUUUUAUGAACAUUUUGGCUAUGUUAAAAAUGAAGUUAUGUAUUUUUCUAGUCUAUUCAUUUGUAAUGAA